RNAcentral lists this ribosomal RNA (400 nucleotides) under uncultured bacterium. Its description in RNAcentral is "bacterial SSU rRNA". It matches the Rfam family "Bacterial small subunit ribosomal RNA", at positions 355 to 772 of the family's 1533-position model. The record is from RNAcentral.
UGGGGAAUAUUGGACAAUGGGCGAAAGCCUGAUCCAGCGACGCCGCGUGAGUGAUGAAGGCCUUAGGGUUGUAAAGCUCUUUCAGUAGGGAAGAUAAUGACGGUACCUACAGAAGAAGCCCCGGCUAACUUCGUGCCAGCAGCCGCGGUAAUACGAAGGGGGCUAGCGUUACUCGGAAUUAUUGGGCGUAAAGCGUGCGUAGGCUGUUAAGUAAGUUAAGAGUGAAAUCCCAGGGCUCAACCUUGGAACUGCUUUUAAAACUGCUUAACUAGAGUCUUGGAGAGGAUAGCAGAAUUCCUAGUGUAGAGGUGAAAUUCGUAGAUAUUAGGAGGAAUACCGGAGGCGAAAGCGGCUAUCUGGCCAAGUACUGACGCUGUUGCACGAAAGCGUGGGGAGCAAA